This 427-nucleotide ribosomal RNA is filed under the name uncultured archaeon. RNAcentral's name for it is "bacterial SSU rRNA". It matches the Rfam family "Archaeal small subunit ribosomal RNA", at positions 433 to 859 of the family's 1478-position model. The record is from RNAcentral.
UAGCAAGGGCCGGGCAAGACCGGUGCCAGCCGCCGCGGUAACACCGGCGGCCCGAGUGGUGAUCGUGAUUAUUGGGUCUAAAGGGUCCGUAGCCGGUUUGGUCAGUCCUCCGGGAAAUCUGACGGCUUAACCGUUAGGCUUUCGGGGGAUACUGCCAGACUUGGAACCGGGAGAGGUAAGAGGUACUACAGGGGUAGGAGUGAAAUCUUGUAAUCCCUGUGGGACCACCUGUGGCGAAGGCGUCUUACCAGAACGGGUUCGACGGUGAGGGACGAAAGCUGGGGGCACGAACCGGAUUAGAUACCCGGGUAGUCCCAGCCGUAAACGAUGCUCGCUAGGUGUCAGGCAUGGCGCGACCGUGUCUGGUGCCGCAGGGAAGCCGUGAAGCGAGCCACCUGGGAAGUACGGCCGCAAGGCUGAAACUUAA